GUGUCAGCAGCCGCGCCGGUACACCGGGGGAGCCAGCGUGUCGGAUCACUGGCGUAAAGGGCGUGUAGGCCGUCCGGUAAGUGAGAUGUGAAAGCCCCCGGCUCACCCGGGGAUGUGCAUUUCAUACUGCCGGGACUUGAGUGCGGAAGAGGAUGGGGGAAUUCCUGGUGUAGCGGUGAAAUGCGUAGAUAUCAGGAGGAACACCGGUGGCGAAGGCGCCCAUCUGGUCCGUUACUGACGCUGAGGCGCGAAAGCUAGGGGAGCGAACGGGAUUAGAUACCCCGAUAGUCCUAGCCGUAAACGGUGGGCACUAGGUGUUGGAGGCAUCGACCCUUCCAGUGCCGCAGCUAACGCAUUAAGUGCCCCGCCUGGGGAGUACGGCCGCAAGGCUGAAACUCAAAGGAAUUGACGGGGGCCCGCACAAGCGGUGGAGCAUGUGGUUUAAUUCGACGCAACGCGAAGAACCUUACCGGGGUUUGAACCGCACGGGAUCGCUCUAGAGACAGAGUUUUCCUUCGGGACCCGUGUAGAGGUGCUGCAUGGCUGUCGUCAGCUCGUGUCGUGAGAUGUUGGGUUAAGUCCCGCAACGAGCGCAACCCUUGCCCCUAGUUGCCAACGGAUAAUGCCGGGGACUCUAGGGGGACAGUCGGCGAUAAGCCGGAGGAAGGUGGGGAUGACGUCAAGUCCUCAUGGCCCUUACAUCCCGGGCUACACACGUGCUACAAUGGCCGGUACAACGAGUUGCGAUACCGUGAGGUGGAGCCAAUCUCUAAAAACCGGUCUCAGUUCGGAUUGCAGUCUGCAACUCGACUGCAUGAAGUCGGAAUCGCUAGUAAUCGCGGAUCAGCACGCCGCGGUGAAUACGUUCCCGGGCCUUGCACACACCGCCCGUCA
RNAcentral lists this ribosomal RNA (894 nucleotides) under uncultured bacterium. RNAcentral describes it as "bacterial SSU rRNA". It matches the Rfam family "Bacterial small subunit ribosomal RNA", at positions 505 to 1399 of the family's 1533-position model. The record is from RNAcentral.